Molecule: long non-coding RNA, 493 nt
Organism: Catharus ustulatus (Swainson's thrush)
Lineage: Eukaryota; Metazoa; Chordata; Aves; Passeriformes; Turdidae
Exons: 2
Source: RefSeq, a predicted model, not a curated record
CGGGAGAGGUGGGCACGGGGAAUAAAUAAAAUACCUGAACCGCGGUUAAACCUCUGCUUGGGGGAGCGUCGGGCAUAAUAAAGGUUUAAACAGCGAGGGAUUCUUGACGCUUGAAGUCACUUUGCAGCCGCGUCCCUCUUGGAUUUGUUUUGUUUUGCAGAACAAUGAGGGCAGGAUGGCGGGAUGAAUGCUGCCAUUGUGCUUUGUCCUGCUGCUUUCCUUGGGAAAACUCCAAGCUCCCUUUUGUUCCGCCUCACCCUCGCAUCUGCUGAUCCCCACAGCGAGCAAGGAUUUGGGGAAGGACACCAGAACGAGUGGUGGCCAUCCCAAAAAUCAGCAAUAAUGGUGUUUGUGGGUGAGCAAAGAUUGUUUCUUUUCAGCUGCCAUGACUUUUGUGUGGCUACACCUCACGGCUUAAAGUGGUUCUUUAAACACCAGACAGGUGUUGAUGCUGCUUUUGAGAGAAAUGUGUGAAAUAAAGAUCCAACCCUGA